CUUGGUGAAGAUGGUGUUUUC
This 21-nucleotide non-coding RNA is filed under the name Arabidopsis thaliana (thale cress). The record is from RNAcentral. Lineage: Eukaryota; Viridiplantae; Streptophyta; Magnoliopsida; Brassicales; Brassicaceae.